RNAcentral lists this non-coding RNA (153 nucleotides) under Ditylum brightwellii. The record is from RNAcentral. Lineage: Eukaryota; Bacillariophyta; Thalassiosirophyceae; Lithodesmiales; Lithodesmiaceae.
CCGGAUGGUGCGUUUCAUUUCUUAUCAAAAGGCUUGAGCGCUGCCUCAAAUGGGGACUAUUCAUUACGGCAUGAAGAUGACAACCAGAGUCUGACUAGGAAUGGUGGAAGGAUGCAACGUCAAAAAACAUUAGCAGAUAUGGAGGAAGUUUCA